GAGGGUACGGCUCAGUGGUAGAGUGUCUGCUUAGCACGCACGAGGUCCUGGUUCAAUCCCCAGUACCUCCA
RNAcentral lists this transfer RNA (71 nucleotides) under Camelus bactrianus (Bactrian camel). It matches the Rfam family "tRNA". From Rfam's summary of the family: Transfer RNA (tRNA) molecules are approximately 80 nucleotides in length. Lineage: Eukaryota; Metazoa; Chordata; Mammalia; Artiodactyla; Camelidae. RNAcentral also lists the same sequence under 2 other names. The record is from Rfam by way of RNAcentral.